RNAcentral lists this ribosomal RNA (90 nucleotides) under Chrysemys picta bellii (western painted turtle). The record is from RNAcentral. Lineage: Eukaryota; Metazoa; Chordata; Testudines; Emydidae.
UAUUAUAUCUCUGAUCUUACAAACGAAGCAGAUUUAGGCUUGGUUAGUACUUGGAUGAAAGACCUUCAAGGAACACUUGGUGAAUAAUAU